UGACGCAAACAUCCUGCCUCUCUACCUGCGGGCAGCAAGCAGAGGGUUAAAGGCCCUGGGAGGGAGGAGGAGACGCCAAAAGAUUCUUCCCCGCAGCUCCUCCAUUUGCCUUCAAGGAGGGGAGACGUUUUCACUCUUCUUGGAAAAACUUUGAAAUGUAAACUGUUUCGAUUGAUGGCUCCUUCUGGCCCUGGCAACUCUUUUUGGUAGCUGGUGCUCUUUCUGUAAUACUUGUUAAAAACGUCUCCGUAGCAAAGAUGUUGUUUUUUAUGUGAUUUUUUUUUAAGUCGGCGCAUGUGUGAGGACAGACAGGCUCUCAUCUCCUGCGUUGGAGACCGCAGCAUGCCAGCAUGUGUGUCCUCAGUGCACUGUGAUUUCGAGGUGGUGUGUACAAGCCCUGUGCCAGAGUCCCUGCCUUCAAGAUGCUUAGAACUGAGUUCGAAAACAAGAUUAGGAAAAGAACAGACAAAAGUAUGUGGAAACAAUGCAGAUCAGACCCGUGGUGACAGAGUGCCUUGCGAGGUCGGUGCUGGCUGGCUUCUCUUCUCCGCUUGCUCUGUCUUCCUUGUUCUUGCUCCUGCUGAGGCCACAGGAGCUGUGUGGGUUCCUGAUUUCCAUUACUGGGGGAAACAUUUGAGCUAAUGUGAAACCAACGGUUGAGACCUUCGUGUAGAUGAGAUGGAAGUCUUGGGGUCCCUCACUGGCCUUUUCAGAAAGGAUUAGGUUUUCAUUACAUUUCUGUCUCCAAAAGUUUGCUUUCUUUCUUAUAAUGGGGCUUAAGUUUGCCCAAGAGAAUGACUACACUUUACUUUCACAGAGGAUGUAGUAUUCUCAUUUGUAAAAUGAAGGAAAAUUUGUUAAAACAUGUAAGCAACUGAUGACACCUAAGAUCCCUUCUGAAGUAAAAAGUUUCUUUUUUUUUGCUUUGAAAUGAUAGAUAACAUUAUGGAAGUCCAAUUUUGAUUAAUUUUGAGUUCUAAAGCCUAAUGCAUAGUUUAAAAAAAAAAGUCCUAAAAGCAUUUAAAUUAAAAUGUGUUUUGAUUUUGAUUAAAUAAUAAUGGAAAGAUAAAAGAUUAAUUCAGCCAAGCAAGAUCUGUGUUUUAGGAUUUGAAGAUAGAAUCAAGGUUAAAACAGAAAGAUAGAGAGACAGAGACAGAGACAGAGACAGAGAGAGAUGUUUUAAGAACCCCAGUGAAACUCUGCAAUUGUUUUACAAAUUGUUUAGCUGGUUCCCCUGUACUAAGUCUUUUUAACUUUCUCCUUCAUUCUGCUGUAGACACAGGGACGUAAGUGAAAAGUCUUUUGAACGCCAGAGUUACAGAAUGGGUGUGUGUCAUUUCAGCACUAUGUACUGUAUUAAGUCAGAACAAAGAUAUUUAAAAAAAUCUUUGCCUUUGCAAGAGUAUGGACAAGAAGGGGCUGGGGAUUUAGCUCAGCGGCAUAAGCACCUGCCUUGCAAACAUGUGGUCAUGAGUUCAAUUCCUGGUACUGAUUAAAAAAAAAAAGGUAUGGACAAGAAAUUACUGAAGUGAGUAAAUUUGAAUUUUUUAAAGUGAGAUAAAUUUCAUGUAUUUAUCAUAUACAGCCCGAUGCUUAGAUACAUGACUACAUCAUGGAACGAUUCAAUCUAGACAAUUGAAGUCAUGGCAUUGCCUCACAUAAUUAUUUAUUUAUUUAUUUUUGUGCAAAUAGUUGACAUUUGUUUUCUGCAGUUUCCAGGAGGUACAAUGUGUCAUCAUUCCUGUAGUCACCAUGCUGCACAGUGGUUCUCUGGAACUUAUUCUUCAAUCUAACAUAUUCUUUACCUGUAUCUCUACCCUACCCGACCACUUCAGCCUCUAACGAUCCCCGCUGUACACCCUGUUUCUAUGAGAUCCAACAUUCCACGUCUGGGUAAAAUCACGGUGGUCUUUCUGUGCCUGGGUUAUUUCCCUUGAUCUUUCUUUCUUUUUUUUUCUUCUUUCCUUCCUUUUUUUUUUUGUACUGGAAAUCGAAUCAGGACCUUGCACUUGCCAGGCAGGCACUGUGCUGCUGAGCUAUGUCCCUGGCCAGAUCUCCUCUUUCUUAUCCACAUUGUCUCAAAUGGAAGAAUUUCCUUUUUUUCUGUAAUACCCUGAUUGUAUUACAUUGUGUAUUCAAAGGUGUGAUCAAAAUGUACCAGUACAGUUCUCGAUGAUUAGUGACACUAUUUUCCAUAUGUCUGUAGGAUAUACAGUGCACUUUUCAAAUAUUAUUUGUAUAUUUUCUUUUGAGAAAUAUCUAUUCAAUAUUUUGCCCAUUUUAAUGUGGUUAUUUAUUUACUUGCUACUGAGUCACUUUUCUUAUUUAUUUUAGAUGUUAACUUCUUUUUGGUGAAAGAUUUUCAGAUAUUUCAUUCCAUUCAACAUGUUUUUUUUUUUUUUCCACUCUGUUGAUCGAUUCAUCUGUGGUUUUGAGGUUUUUUUAGUGGGAUAUAAUUCCAUUUGUCUAAUUUUGCUUUUGUUGGCUAUGGUUUUGAGAUCAAAUCCAAAGUUUAUGAUUUCCUCUAAAUUUUCUUCUCCAUAAUAGUUUCAUUGUUAUGGAUCUUAAUGUGUUUAUUGUUAAUUUUUAUAAGAAUCUAAUUACAUUUUUAUGUAUGUGGAGGUUCAGUGUUCCCAACACCACUUAGAAAUCAUUUCUAUAUUGCAUAUUUUAUAAAAACUUUUUUUAGUCA
Long non-coding RNA from Cavia porcellus (domestic guinea pig), 2692 nucleotides. RefSeq lists it as uncharacterized. The record is from RefSeq and is a predicted model, not a curated record. The transcript has 3 exons. NCBI's taxonomy places the organism in Eukaryota, Metazoa, Chordata, Mammalia, Rodentia, Caviidae.